Ictidomys tridecemlineatus (thirteen-lined ground squirrel) is the source of this 73-nucleotide non-coding RNA. The record is from Rfam. Lineage: Eukaryota; Metazoa; Chordata; Mammalia; Rodentia; Sciuridae.
GGGGAUGUAGCUCAGUUGAUAGAGUGCUUGCCUUGCAUGCACAAGGCCCUGGAUUCAAUUUCCAGCACCACAA